Molecule: ribosomal RNA, 829 nt
Filed under: uncultured marine crenarchaeote
Lineage: Archaea; Thermoproteati; Thermoproteota
Description: bacterial SSU rRNA
Rfam family: Archaeal small subunit ribosomal RNA
Source: RNAcentral
GGCAGACGGCUCAGUAACGCGUAGUCAACCUAACCUAUGGACGGGAAUAACCUCGGGAAACUGAGUAUAAUGCCCGAUAGAACAUUAUACCUGGAAUGGUUUAUGUUCCAAAUGAUUUAUCGCCGUAGGAUGGGACUGCGGCCUAUCAGUUUGUUGGUGAGGUAAUGGCCCACCAAGACUAUUACAGGUACGGGCUCUGAGAGGAGUAGCCCGGAGAUGGGUACUGAGACACGGACCCAGGCCCUAUGGGGCGCAGCAGGCGAGAAAACUUUGCAAUGUGCGAAAGCACGACAAGGUUAAUCCGAGUGGUUUCUGCUAAGGGAACCUUUUGUCGGUCCUAGAAACACCGAUGAAUAAGGGGUGGGCAAGUUCUGGUGUCAGCCGCCGCGGUAAAACCAGCACCUCAAGUGGUCAGGAUGAUUAUUGGGCCUAAAGCAUCCGUAGCCGGCUCUGUUAGUUUUCGGUUAAAUCUGUACGCUCAACGUACAGGCUGCCGGGAAUACUGCAGAGCUAGGGAGUGGGAGAGGUAGACGGUACUCGGUAGGAAGGGGUAAAAUCCUUUGAUCUAUUGAUGACCACCUGUGGCGAAGGCGGUCUACCAGAACACGUCCGACGGUGAGGGAUGAAAGCUGGGGGAGCAAACCGGAUUAGAUACCCGGGUAGUCCCAGCUGUAAACUAUGCAAACUCAGUGAUGCAUUGGCUUGUGGCCAAUGCAGUGCUGCAGGAAGCCGUUAAGUUUGCCGCUGGGAAGUACGUACGCAAGUAUGAAACUUAAAGGAAUUGGCGGGGGAGCACCACAAGGGGUGAAGCCUGCGGUUCAAUUGGAGU